This 454-nucleotide ribosomal RNA is filed under the name Plesionika alcocki. Its description in RNAcentral is "12S ribosomal RNA". Lineage: Eukaryota; Metazoa; Arthropoda; Malacostraca; Decapoda; Pandalidae. The record is from RNAcentral.
GGGUGAAAUCUGGUGCCUGAGGGUGGUUGAACACGAAGUUGAAAAAUUUUUAAGCUGUUAAAUCUCAGAUAUAAAACAGGAUUAGAUACCCUGUUAUACCGGGAUAAAAAUAAGUCGCUUGAGUAGUAAAUAGUUAUGAGCUCGAAACUUAAAGGAUUUGGCGGUAUCUUAGUCUUGUUAGAGGAAUCUGUUCUAUGAACGAUAAACCACGAAGUAUCUUACUCUUUUUUGUAACUCAGUUUGUAUACCGCCAUUAUUAGAUAGUUUUUAUAAAAAUCUAUUGAAAUAAUUAAAUAUUAGUAUAUUAGGUCAAGGUGCAGCAAAUAAAAGAGCAAGCAAUGGAUUACAAUAAUACAAGUUUACAUGGAUUAAUGGGUGAAACCUCAUUUUGAAAGUGGAUUUAAUAGUAAUACUUGUUCAAUAAGCAAGUAUGAUAAAAGCUCUAAGAUAUGUA